RNAcentral lists this ribosomal RNA (361 nucleotides) under uncultured bacterium. RNAcentral's name for it is "bacterial SSU rRNA". It matches the Rfam family "Bacterial small subunit ribosomal RNA", at positions 29 to 416 of the family's 1533-position model. The record is from RNAcentral.
AACGAACGCUGGCGGCAGGCUUAACACAUGCAAGUCGAACGCGUGUAGCAAUACACGAGUGGCGCACGGGUGAGUAACACGUGGAUAUCUGCCUUUUGGUUCGGAAUAACCCUGGGAAACUAGGGCUAAUACCGAAUGGUUCCUACGGGAUAAAGAUUUAUCGCCAAAAGAUGAGUCCGCGUCCGAUUAGCUAGUUGGUGAGGUAACGGCUCACCAAGGCGACGAUCGGUAGCUGGCUGAGAGGACGAUCAGCCACACUGGGACUGAGACACGGCCCAGACUCCUACGGGAGGCAGCAGUGGGGAAUAUUGGACAAUGGGGGCAACCCUGAUCCAGCCAUGCCGCGUGAGUGAUGAAGGCC